Molecule: ribosomal RNA, 115 nt
Filed under: Chloroflexaceae bacterium
Lineage: Bacteria; Bacillati; Chloroflexota; Chloroflexia; Chloroflexales; Chloroflexaceae
Source: RNAcentral
GGGUGUGUGUUGAGCGCGGUGGAACCACCCUGAUCCAUCUCGAACCAGGAGGUGAAACGCCGCAGCGCCGAUAGUACUGGUGAAGCCUCACUGGGAGGGUAGGUCCAUGCACCCG